CUCGCGCUGGACAGCCUCCUCUGUAAGGUGGGAGGGCAUCCGUGCCACCGCCCCGGGCAAGGGCUCGUCCCCAAGACCACCCAGAGCCCCUGGGAGGGAUGAGGGUACCUCUGGCGGCUCAGGGUGGCCGGGCCCAGGCAGGUGGAAGGUUGCAGAGAGGGCACCGCCUGUCCUCCGCCCCCCGGCCGGGCCCUCCCGGCCUCCGCGCAGCCAGGCGGCUGCACUUCCAGAGUGGACAUUCCUCCUUCCUGCCCCCGGCUGCCGGCUGCCUUUGUCUUCCUGGGGCUGCACAAAAUGGCCGCCGCAGCCCUCCGCCAUUUUGUGUGAGGCCGGCGGGCAGGCGGCCCGGCGGGGGAGGAGGGAGGGAGACCACUGUCCGCCCGCUGCCCCGAGUGGCCUGGACGGAGCCCAGCAGCAGCCCCCGCCCCAGCUCGGCCUUGGCCGCGGCUGCCCUGGGCUUGGCACCAGCGCACGUCUUGGCAAGGCCGUCCGGGAACCCCGGCCCUUCACCCAGCCCGGCCGGCCCCCUCGCCGCCCCCCAGCCUUCCCUGACGAGCAGACGGAGAUGCUGCGAAGCCGAGCCCAGAAGAGCUGUAAUUAAAGCCAUGCUCCUGGAGGGAGUCCUCGGCAUCCCCGGGGCCGGCACGGACAGUUCUAGAAAUGACUCUCGCCUGAGCGGGAGGGGGGGAGGGGGUGGGCUGCCCAGACUCGCUACUACGGGGCCGGGUCUUUUCUAGGCCACGCGGGGGACAGGAGCGGCGCACUCAGUCCUCCGCUCGACUGCCCGCGCCCUCACCUGCCCAAGGAGCCUCUGGGCUCCCUGGUGGUCAGUCAGGUUUCUGGUCUGGACACAGGUCCUGCCCGUCUUCAGGAAACGGGCAGGGGGCUUCCUGGAGGAGGUGGGCUUGUGCCGCUCUACAGCUCGGCUUCCCCCGGGGCCUGAGCCAGCUAAGGUUCUUCAUUGCAGGAAGCUGGGGGUGGGCCCAUUCCAGCCCAGCCCACUGCCCUGCAUGGUCCCAUCUCCUGAGGGACCUACAUCCCCUAGGCCGUGGCUACCCCGAAGAGCACCGUCCCAGAACUGGGAGCCACCGGGCGUCGGGGGCCUCCAUCUGUGCCUCCUGCUCUUGUUCUGUGCACAGUGUGGACAGGCUUGCAGCUCUGACCGUGCCCAGCUGGGUGCAGGUAGCAUGGCACUGGGGGACACACUCAUGCAAACAGCAGGCUGCCCGGCACGUGGGAACUCCUGGCCACAGGGACCGGGGAGCCACAUAGAGAAGACUCCGUUGUCUCGGGAGCCAGCACCGGGCCAUUCGCUGUGGGCCACCGUGCCCUGUUGGCCCCGGCAGCGUGCCUCUGGGAGUGGCCAGCACGCCAGCCCUCCGCGCCUGCCGUCAGGGCCCAGCGAUGCGGUCCUCAGAGGGCAGCGAACCUCCUAGAGGCGCGUCCAAGGAAAGACCUGGUGCAGAAGCCGGGAGUGGGGUCUGAGGAGUGUGCCUGUUCAAGGCCUGCUGCCGUCUCUCAGGCCAGGCAGUGUGGAGUUGUGCCGGGCAGACCUGGGGGCACGGCCUGAUCUGUGUUCUCGGCCCAGCUGAGGGUCAGUCCCGCACUGUCAAGAGACAGACACCCAGGGGGAGAGCGUGUGGAACAGGGUGGGGAGCUGCUGAGGCCUUCCCCAGACACCUGUGGCCCUGCCAAGCCCUUCAGGCUAGGAGGGUUGCUGGCUGCUGCUCCAGGCCCUUCCCAGACGUUCUCUUCUUGUGGUUCCCAGAGAGAACAUUCCGUCACCGUAAAGUGAAGUUUACUCAUGCCCUGGAUCCCUCUGGGGAAAUCCUGUGGGACAGGAUGGUGGCCACGCGCCAGGCCAGACCCAGCACCUCUUAGGGGAAAACAGAGUCCCACGGAGAAAGACCGUCUUGAAGGGGACCGGGCCAGCCAGGGCUGCUGCGGGGUGGGCUUUCGUGCUGGGCAUUUUUAAUGAUAGGUAUGCAUCCGGUCCCCUCCCUUAACACUGCUCUUCGCCAUGUGACCCAGAUUGUAGCUUGAGCCAAGAACAUUGUAGAUAAACGCGUACCUUUGAGGUUAACGCUGUUGGCUCCUAAAGAGCACCGCACAGACACACCCGCAGGAGCAGAGAGCCCUGCAUCUGGCUUCUCCCUUUGGAGUCCAAGCAAACGCUGCAGGGGUGAAGCACCGCUCUCCCCACUGACAUCCUCUCCCUGGGCACAGAGCCCGCUGACCUUGCUCCUGACCACCCAGCAUCCUUGCCGCGAGGCCAGGGGUGCUCACUUGCCCGAGGCUCAUUUCUGCUUAGAGCCAGAGCAGGGUCAGAACCAGGACCAGGGGGACUUCAGAGCCAGCUGUCUCCCCUUCCCCAUGCCCGUGCCCCCAUGGCUGCAGCCCGCUAGCCACCCCAGCCAGCCCCUGCCCCCUGGCUUCCCAAGGGCGGCCAGGGGUCACUUUCGUGGGCCUCGCAGCUCCGCAUCUGUGGCAUUACCAUUCCAGCCUCUGCUGUGGCCGUGCCGCCCACACCGUGCUGGCAUGGAGGUCUCUGGGCACAGGAGGGCAGGGAGCUGGAGCAGGACACAGGCUUUCAAGUGCCCAUCAUGGGUGCGGGGGCAGAAGCUGGUCAGGGAGGGUGCGGACAAGAGGAUCACUGGAGCCCGGAGACAGGAGGAGGGCUGGGGUCUGUCCAGACCCACGGGGCUGGAGCGGGGGCUCCUGGCUGGGAGUGGCUUGUACCGCCCAGAGGGACAUGGGGCUGUGGGAAGAGCCGAGCAUCACGGAACUUGGGAUUCCAGAUCCAGUUUUGCUGUUCUGUCCCCAGGGCAUGCUGUUGGGGGUGGUGAGGCCCCUGGUCCAUGUCCUCCCUGGGCCGCUGGAGCCCGAGGCAAAAGAAGUCAGUAACCCUGUCCGUUCUGUCUGUAGGAGGAAUAUUUUUAUGUCAUGGACAUUUUUACAUUCGUUUUUAAGAAUUUUACUUUAAAAUAUUUGUCUGGAUUGCUGAGUGUUGGUGCUCCAGAAAUGGUCUGGCUGGCCUCCCUGCUUCCCGGCCAUGCCAGGCCCCUGGUGGGCACACGGCCCCCUGCCCCUGGCCCAGGUCAAUCAAACUGCCAUGUCCUUAACUCGAUGGGCCGUGUUUGUAAGGAGACCCACCCCCGCCAGGGCCCCCGGAUGCCACCCCCACGUCUUUUUCCCAGACUCCAUUGUUGGCACGGCUUGCCGAGCAGAAACACUGGUCGCUUUAUGGGGAGAAACCUAAUCGGGGCAGCAGUGCGGGGGUGGGGGCGGCCGUGGGGGGGGUGGUUCCUGGCUCUCUGUGGCCCCGAGCCAAGCCUGAGGUGACUGCGGGGUGACACCGUCUGUCUGCCUCACUCGCUCCAGACAUCCGCCCAGCCCUGAAAGGGCCACCUGCCCACGAAGGCCGCCCACACACCUGUCCCUGGCUGGCCUGGCCCCUCCCACCCGGCACUGCCCAGCACCCUGCCCACAGGCAGACACCGUGGGACCGGGUGGGCCGGUGCCAGCAGCUGGUGGCUGGUGGGGUGACCCCCGAUUGCUCAGUGCCCCUGGCAGCCCAGCUCAGGGAGCCCCUUUCAGGUGCAUCACCUGUGCCCUGCUGCCAGGCCUCACCUGGGCUGAGUGGGAAGGGUCCCUCUGGUCUGUCUCAGGAAUCCUGCCGUACCCCCGCGCUGAGGCCCAUGGUGACCCCCGGAACUGUGGGGCAGGGAGGCCCGGCAAGUCUUCCCUUCCACCUCAGACACGCCAACCUGGGGCCUCUGCCCCAUCAGCUCAGAAGUGUCUCCACAAAUGGGUCACAGACCCAGAAAUGUACAUCCUGACCCCCACCCAAAAACCUGGGUUCUUGGCUUAAAGAAAAAAAGGCGUUUUGUUUGAGCCCCCUGUUGGGAUGGGCAAAGCCAGAGUGGGGACCCCACUGGGGGUCACUAUCCUUGCUUCCCGGUCACCUAGAGACACUGGAAGCAGACUUCAUGUCUGCAGUGAACCCGCCCGGGCUCUCGGGAGGGAGGAAUGCUGCCAGGGCCGCUGGGCACCACUCCCCACCGCCACGCCACCUGCCGCGGGGCAGGCUCUUCCGUACAGGAGGCCUUGGGGCCCCUGAGAGGACGGCGGGCCCCAGAGCUGGGGCAGAGCUGGGAUUCCCCGGGGGGGCCCCAGAGAGGCUCACGCAGACCGCAGAGGGCCCUCGUGGGCACGCAGCUAGAACAAUCGGGGGCAGGCGCCCUGGCAAAGGACAGAGACAGGUGGGCCAGACAGAGUCAGCCGCGGCCUGCCCUGGCUAUUCUUCUGCUCCAGGAGGCGGGCGUAGGGGAGCCAGGGCUGGGCAGGGACUCGGUGGGAAGAAGCAGAGGUGCGGGCUGGGGGCGGGUCUGGCUCCCGGCGUAACACCUCGGGCUCAGCUUCUGGCCCUCCGGGAGGUCAGCGGUCCGGCCGUGGGCUUGCCUCCUAUCUGUGUCCCUUCCUUGGCGGACAGGUGCGGCUGGCUGUCCUUCUGCCAGUCCUAGGUGCUCAUCCAGCCACAAUGGGCCACAGCCAGGUGGGGUGGCCGGCCUCCCGCAAGCCCUGGCAAAGGCCUCGGGGCGGGUCUUGGGAGCCCUUUCCUCCGGAUUUCUGCUCUCCGGAGAACCCCAGGCCUCGCCAUGGGACAGGAGCCUCAGCCUGGCUGGAGCCUCCUCUGUAAAGUGGGGACCUCAGCUCCUCUCUCUUGGGUCCCACCAACUCCAGGCCCCAGGAUGUCCUCAUGACCUUGGCGUAGUACUCCCUGCCCAGCCUGGAAACAUCAGUAAACCAUGACCAUUCAGAGACGAGGCCCGGGCCUCUGUCGUCUUUGACGCAGAACUGUCCAGCUCCAGGCGGUCACAGAGGUCCCUCUCCUGGCCCUGGCGGGGAGUGCCUCCCUGGCCAGAGGCUGGUCAGGAAUGGGGGAGGUGUGGGCUGGCAGGUGCGUCCCUGAGGGGCGGAGGCCCACAGCAGCUGGCCGAAGUCCGGCUUGGCUGCGUCUCCCCAAACCUGACGCUUACUACUUUCUCCCUAAAUCCCGCACAGGUCAAGAAACGGUGCCGAUCUGGGGGCUUCUGUCUGUGGCCGGCCUUUCUCGCAGUCCUGUCAUCAGGGGGAUCUGGUGGUCCUACCGCCAAACCUUUGCCCAAGGAGCACCCUCCACCCACAGCCACGCCUCUCUGCCCCUGCCUCUCUCCUGGGACCUUGUCACCUUUGAUGGUUCUCUGUGGCCUCCCCCCACCACGACUGGACACGGCCUGAAGGAGCCGUGGUCUAUUACAGAGAGUUUGGACAGAAGAGGACUAUUCAGCCCCAUCCCCGCUCGGCACCGUGAGGACUCGUCUGUCUCUGGGGUGCACCACCCGGUGCAUCUGCUCCCCUCGGCCUCACCUUGUCUUGAGGGCCCUGAUCCUGGAGGUAGCCCCUUCUCUCUGCCUGGCCGUGAACCAGCCCUCGCGUGCAGUCCUAACGCACCCAGGCCACCUGUCACCCCCCGAGACGCUGUGCGGUGAGUCUAGCAGGAACAGGAACAAAGGGCAAGAGAAGGAAACCCCGUCUCGUGUGCAGGCCGGGCUGGAGGCGGUGGGCAGGGGUGCUUGUGGCGACGGCCAGGGUGGAUCAGGAUGUGUGUCUCUUCUUGUCUCCCUCACUCGCCCCAGCCCGGGGGCCCCAGCGCAUGGGCUGGCCCGGCGUGCAGUCCGUGUCUUCCGGCCGGGGCUCUCCUGGUUCUCGCUGCGAGCCCUAGAGCUUAAGCCCGGGCCUGGGGGAGGGCAGGCGUGUGCAGACCGCGGGACAGGAGGUGUCGGAGUCUGCGUCGUGGCACACUUGGAUUCCGGCUCUGGCUAAGGGUGGCCCGGUGCUACCCAGACACCCCGAGAGGCAGCUCCUGUACCGGCCCCGCAUCCCAGUGGGGAAAUCGAAGCCCACGAGGUUGUAAGAUGUGCCCAGAGAUGCACGGGGAGGAGGCCAGCCUGGUCUUGCCGCUGGCUCCACCCACCAGGCUCCCCCACCUCUGACCACCUGCGGGGGCAGCGGUCAGAACUGGGGGGUCUCUGCCGCCUGCAGGCAUCAGGGUCUCAGUGGCUGAGUCUGAAGACCAGAGUCCUCUGGGACACCCAGCAGGGAGCCCUGGGCUGGGGGCCAGGUCCUCGGCCUCUUUUGUCCCCAGGAAUGUGAGGCUCAUGGCAGCCAGUCACCCCACAGGGCACUUGGGGGGGCUUUAGGACGCCCAGAGCUCAUUCAGGACUGGCAGAUGCCCCUGCUUUGGGGGCUGGGCCCGAGACCUCCCUCUGCGGGACCAGGCGAGGCCAAACCCAGCAGAGCCCAAGAGAAACCCUCUGCCCUGACAAGGGGCCAGGGACCCCACAGCCCACCCAUCUCCGCCUCUCCUUGCUGCAAAGCGGGAUUGCCAGCUUCAGCGGGCCUGUGAGGACUGCAUGGUGCAGCCCAGCCUGGGGCCUGCCGAGAGGAGGCAGCCUGCUUGGGGGUGGGUACAAGGUGGUCUGGCGGCUGGAGAGCUCAGGGAGCUCAGACCAUUUCACCAGGCAGAAUGUUCUAACCUUCUUCCUGCCACCUGCCUGCUGUGCGACCCUGGGAGAGCGAGGUCACCUCUCUGGGCCGCUGUGCUCACCCCUAAGGCAGGUUGGCAGUAGCACUCGCCUCACCAGCUUUCCCUCAGGGGCCCCUAGGAAGGUGGUGGCCCUGCUGGCCAUGGUGACGCUAACCCAGGCUGACUGUGCUCUUGGGCACCGAGUGCAGAGCCCUGCGGGGUCUCCAGCCCUGCCCCAGCCGCCUUCCCCAGGGAGCCAGCUUCCUGGUCUGAAGGAAAGAACAGCAUCCUGGGGCGGGGGGUCUCCCGACGUGGGGACAGCUCUGGCCACCCUGUAUGGCAGGAUGGCCUUCCUCCCAGUGUCACCAGUGCAGGAGAUGGUCCUUGGGAACAUUAUGGCCACUCCUGUCCAGACGGGGGUGAUCCGUCACCGUAACAGCCCCGAAAGCACACCGCGACACCUGUCCCUGUCCCCACCCCUCCGUCUCUCUCCUCACACUCUCUUUCCCGUGGUUUGGUGGCUUUCUUAUGUGUGGCACCCCCUGCAUAGCUGGUGUGGGGAGUCCACCGGCUGGACUCCCUGAGCACCCAGCCGGCCUGACCCCCAGCCCCGGUCCCCCCAGUGCUCCAGCCCCACUCCAGGAGGUGCCUCUGGAAACCAGGGAGUCUGUCCCUGCGCCACGACUGACGGCCCUUUGGGGUGAGGUAGUAGGUUGUAUAGUUUGGGGCCCUGCCCUACUAUGCGUAACUAUACGAUCUACUGUCUUUCCUGAAGUGGUUGUAAUAUCACCGAUGGACAGCGCCCAGGACCCUGGCCACGGAGGGGACAGGUGCAGGCGGGGCGUGGGCAGUGGGACCCUGUCCAGGGAGGGGACAGGAGAAGGUGGAGUAUGGGCAGCAGGACCCUGGCCGGGGAGGGGACAGGUGCAGGCGGGGCGUGGGCAGCAGCCUUGAGGGGGAGGGGACAGGCUGCCGUGCAGUAGGUCUGGCAGAUCGAUCCUCCACUUGCUCUGUGACCUUGGGCGGGUCUUUUGAUCUCUCUGGGCUUCAUUUUCCUUAUCUGUGAAAUGGGGACAAGUGAGGAUUGAAGACGAAACCGUGAAGUGUCCAGAGCAGGGGAAGCAGGGGAGGGCUCAAAGUUGACCCUUCCGUCGCUCCCCUGAGAGCGGGGGGCCCGUGGGGUAGUUUUUGCCGCCUGCCUCUCUUCCCCGCCCCCCCACCCCCCACAUCUGGACUCUGUCCGCGGCUCCUUCCCUGUGGCCGGCAGUGGGCACCUGGGGGAGCAGCUGUGGACCCAGAGGACGAGACUGGGGUUGCAGGGCAUGCCCUCAGGGAGCCCCCCAGGGAACCCCAGCACACCCCCCGGCGCCCUCAGCAGCCUGCCCAGCUCAGCAUCCGGCCUCUGGUCAGUGACGGCUCCUCCACUGGCGAGGGGUGCUGAGGCCACCCCAUCGCUCACCACUCACUAUUCCAGGCAGGAAGUGGGGGGUUUCUGUGAGCGCCAUGUGGCCCCUCAGGGACACCAGCUCCCUCCACCGCACCCACGACGACCUGCAGGUGGACGGUGUGGGCUGCACUGUCUGUGCCUUCUGGAUUGUCCCUCCUGCCCCGCGCCUGCCCAGCCCUCCAGCUCGGCUCUGGUGGCCACCGACCACCAGGCAGGGGCUGGGGGUGGGGCAGUGGCGGGCCCACGGGCCCUCCCGCAUUCCCAGGGCGCCGGCGGGGUGAGGUAGUAGGUUGUGUGGUUUCAGGGCAGUGAUGUUGCCCCCUCAGAAGAUAACUAUACAACCUACUGCCUUCCCUGAGGAGCCCAGCGGCACCUAUGCGCGGGAGGGCCCGCCGCCAGCCCCAGCAGGUGACUCGGGGACCGCGAGCCCCAGGCCAGGGAGUGGGAGCCUGUGGCAUGCAGUCCUUGACAUCAAUAAAAGCCGUUCUGACAUG
Mustela lutreola (European mink) is the source of this 8509-nucleotide long non-coding RNA. RefSeq lists it as uncharacterized. The transcript is spliced from 2 exons. The record is from RefSeq and is a predicted model, not a curated record. NCBI's taxonomy places the organism in Eukaryota, Metazoa, Chordata, Mammalia, Carnivora, Mustelidae.